GGCCCAGUGGCCUAAUGGAUAAGGCAUCAGACUCUAGAGCUGGGGACUAUGGGUUUAAAUCCCACCUUGGUUA
Molecule: transfer RNA, 73 nt
Filed under: Alligator mississippiensis (American alligator)
Lineage: Eukaryota; Metazoa; Chordata; Crocodylia; Alligatoridae
Rfam family: tRNA
About the family: Transfer RNA (tRNA) molecules are approximately 80 nucleotides in length.
Source: Rfam by way of RNAcentral